AGAGUUUGAUCCUGGCUCAGGACGAACGCUGGCGGCGUGCCUAAUACAUGCAAGUCGAACGAACUCUGGUAUUGAUUGGUGCUUGCAUCAUGAUUUACAUUUGAGUGAGUGGCGAACUGGUGAGUAACACGUGGGAAACCUGCCCAGAAGCGGGGGAUAACACCUGGAAACAGAUGCUAAUACCGCAUAACAACUUGGACCGCAUGGUCCGAGUUUGAAAGAUGGCUUCGGCUAUCACUUUUGGAUGGUCCCGCGGCGUAUUAGCUAGAUGGUGGGGUAACGGCUCACCAUGGCAAUGAUACGUAGCCGACCUGAGAGGGUAAUCGGCCACAUUGGGACUGAGACACGGCCCAAACUCCUACGGGAGGCAGCAGUAGGGAAUCUUCCACAAUGGACGAAAGUCUGAUGGAGCAACGCCGCGUGAGUGAAGAAGGGUUUCGGCUCGUAAAACUCUGUUGUUGAAGAAGAACAUAUCUGAGAGUAACUGUUCAGGUAUUGACGGUAUUUAACCAGAAAGCCACGGCUAACUACGUGCCAGCAGCCGCGGUAAUACGUAGGUGGCAAGCGUUGUCCGGAUUUAUUGGGCGUAAAGCGAGCGCAGGCGGUUUUUUAAGUCUGAUGUGAAAGCCUUCGGCUCAACCGAAGAAGUGCAUCGGAAACUGGGAAACUUGAGUGCAGAAGAGGACAGUGGAACUCCAUGUGUAGCGGUGAAAUGCGUAGAUAUAUGGAAGAACACCAGUGGCGAAGGCGGCUGUCUGGUCUGUAACUGACGCUGAGGCUCGAAAGUAUGGGUAGCAAACAGGAUUAGAUACCCUGGUAGUCCAUACCGUAAACGAUGAAUGCUAAGUGUUGGAGGGUUUCCGCCCUUCAGUGCUGCAGCUAACGCAUUAAGCAUUCCGCCUGGGGAGUACGGCCGCAAGGCUGAAACUCAAAGGAAUUGACGGGGGCCCGCACAAGCGGUGGAGCAUGUGGUUUAAUUCGAAGCUACGCGAAGAACCUUACCAGGUCUUGACAUACUAUGCAAAUCUAAGAGAUUAGACGUUCCCUUCGGGGACAUGGAUACAGGUGGUGCAUGGUUGUCGUCAGCUCGUGUCGUGAGAUGUUGGGUUAAGUCCCGCAACGAGCGCAACCCUUAUUAUCAGUUGCCAGCAUUAAGUUGGGCACUCUGGUGAGACUGCCGGUGACAAACCGGAGGAAGGUGGGGAUGACGUCAAAUCAUCAUGCCCCUUAUGACCUGGGCUACACACGUGCUACAAUGGAUGGUACAACGAGUUGCGAACUCGCGAGAGUAAGCUAAUCUCUUAAAGCCAUUCUCAGUUCGGAUUGUAGGCUGCAACUCGCCUACAUGAAGUCGGAAUCGCUAGUAAUCGCGGAUCAGCAUGCCGCGGUGAAUACGUUCCCGGGCCUUGUACACACCGCCCGUCACACCAUGAGAGUUUGUAACACCCAAAGUCGGUGGGGUAACCUUUUAGGAACCAGCCGCCUAAGGUGGGACAGAUGAUUAGGGUGAAGUCGUAACAAGGUAGCCGUAGGAGAACCUGCGGCUGGAUCACCU
RNAcentral lists this ribosomal RNA (1555 nucleotides) under Lactiplantibacillus plantarum. RNAcentral's name for it is "Lactobacillus plantarum 16S ribosomal RNA". It matches the Rfam family "Bacterial small subunit ribosomal RNA". The record is from RNAcentral. Lineage: Bacteria; Bacillati; Bacillota; Bacilli; Lactobacillales; Lactobacillaceae.